GUCUAUGGCCAUAUCACCCUGAACAUGCCCGAUCUCAUGAUCUCGGAAGCAAAGCAGGGUUGGGUCUGGUUAGUACUUGGAUGGGUGUGGUGAAUAUGGCUGGAUU
Molecule: ribosomal RNA, 106 nt
Filed under: Tupaia belangeri chinensis (Chinese tree shrew)
Lineage: Eukaryota; Metazoa; Chordata; Mammalia; Scandentia; Tupaiidae
Source: RNAcentral